Molecule: ribosomal RNA, 158 nt
Filed under: Cantharellus cibarius (golden chanterelle)
Lineage: Eukaryota; Fungi; Basidiomycota; Agaricomycetes; Cantharellales; Hydnaceae
Description: 5.8S ribosomal RNA
Rfam family: 5.8S ribosomal RNA (bases 26-158)
About the family: 5.8S ribosomal RNA (5.8S rRNA) is a component of the large subunit of the eukaryotic ribosome. It is transcribed by RNA polymerase I as part of the 45S precursor that also contains 18S and 28S rRNA. Functionally, it is thought that 5.8S rRNA may be involved in ribosome translocation.
Source: RNAcentral
UGAGUUUUCCAAUGGGUUUAUAGAUAACUCUCANCAAUGGAUCUCUAGGCUCUUGCAUCGAUGAAGAACGCAGUGAACUGCGAUAACUGGUGUGAAUUGCAUGGCACUUCUAAUCUUACACCAAGCGAAUCAUCGAGUCUUUGAACGCAAACGGCACC